CUCCAGACUCCUACGGGAGGCAGCAGUGGGGAAUAUUGCACAAUGGGGGGAACCCUGAUGCAGCGACGCCGCGUGGGCGAGGAAGUAUUUCGGUAUGUAAAGCCCUAUCGGCAGGGAAGAAGGAGGACGGUACCUGACUAAGAAGCCCCGGCUAACUACGUGCCAGCAGCCGCGGUAAUACGUAGGGGGCAAGCGUUAUCCGGAAUUACUGGGUGUAAAGGGAGCGCAGACGGCAGCGCAAGCCAGGAGUGAAAGCCCGGGGCCCAACCCCGGGACUGCUCUUGGAACUGCGCGGCUGGAGUGCAGGAGGGGCAGGCGGAAUUUCUGGUGUAGCGGUGAAAUGCGUAGAUAUCAGGAGGAACACCGGUGGCGAAGGCGGCCUGCUGGACUGCGACUGACGUUGAGGCCCGAAAGCGUGGGGAGCAAACAGGAUUAGAUACCCUCGUA
RNAcentral lists this ribosomal RNA (447 nucleotides) under uncultured bacterium. Its description in RNAcentral is "partial 16S ribosomal RNA". It matches the Rfam family "Bacterial small subunit ribosomal RNA", at positions 329 to 792 of the family's 1533-position model. The record is from RNAcentral.